UGCAUGCGGCAGCUACCAUGCAGUCGAGCGGGGAGAUGUAGCUUGCUACCUAUAUCCUAGCGGCGGACGGGUGAGUAAUGCUUAGGAAUCUGCCUAUUAGUGGGGGACAACAUUCCGAAAGGAAUGCUAAUACCGCAUACGCCCUACGGGGGAAAGCAGGGGAUCUUCGGACCUUGCGCUAAUAGAUGAGCCUAAGUCAGAUUAGCUAGUUGGUGGGGUAAAGGCCUACCAAGGCGACGAUCUGUAGCGGGUCUGAGAGGAUGAUCCGCCACACUGGGACUGAGACACGGCCCAGACUCCUACGGGAGGCAGCAGUGGGGAAUAUUGGACAAUGGGCGAAAGCCUGAUCCAGCCAUGCCGCGUGUGUGAAGAAGGCCUUUUGGUUGUAAAGCACUUUAAGCGAGGAGGAGGCUACUUGGAUUAAUACUCUUGGAUAGUGGACGUUACUCGCAGAAUAAGCACCGGCUAACUCUGUGCCAGCAGCCGCGGUAAUACAGAGGGUGCGAGCGUUAAUCGGAUUUACUGGGCGUAAAGCGUGCGUAGGCGGCUUUUUAAGUCGGAUGUGAAAUCCCUGAGCUUAACUUAGGAAUUGCAUUCGAUACUGGGAAGCUAGAGUAUGGGAGAGGAUGGUAGAAUUCCAGGUGUAGCGGUGAAAUGCGUAGAGAUCUGGAGGAAUACCGAUGGCGAAGGCAGCCAUCUGGCCUAAUACUGACGCUGAGGUACGAAAGCAUGGGGAGCAAACAGGAUUAGAUACCCUGGUAGUCCAUGCCGUAAACGAUGUCUACUAGCCGUUGGGGCCUUUGAGGCUUUAGUGGCGCAGCUAACGCGAUAAGUAGACCGCCUGGGGAGUACGGUCGCAAGACUAAAACUCAAAGGAAUUGACGGA
This 886-nucleotide ribosomal RNA is filed under the name uncultured bacterium. Its description in RNAcentral is "bacterial SSU rRNA". It matches the Rfam family "Bacterial small subunit ribosomal RNA", at positions 34 to 917 of the family's 1533-position model. The record is from RNAcentral.